UGUUCUGUGGCUUGGUUGGUUAAAGCGCCGGUCUUGUGAAUACGGAGUCGUGGGUUCGAAUCCCACCAGAACGC
Non-coding RNA from Aedes albopictus (Asian tiger mosquito), 74 nucleotides. The record is from Rfam. NCBI's taxonomy places the organism in Eukaryota, Metazoa, Arthropoda, Insecta, Diptera, Culicidae.